AUUGAACGCUGGCGGCAGGCUUAACACAUGCAAGUCGAGCGGAGAUGAGGUGCUUGCACCUUAUCUUAGCGGCGGACGGGUGAGUAAUGCUUAGGAAUCUGCCUAUUAGUGGGGGACAACAUUCCGAAAGGAAUGCUAAUACCGCAUACGUCCUACGGGAGAAAGCAGGGGAUCUUCGGACCUUGCGCUAAUAGAUGAGCCUAAGUCGGAUUAGCUAGUUGGUGGGGUAAAGGCCUACCAAGGCGACGAUCUGUAGCGGGGCUGAGAGGAUGGGCCGCCACACUGGGACUGAGACACGGCCCAGACUCCUACGGGAGGCAGCAGUGGGGAAUAUUGGACAAUGGGGGAAACCCUGAUCCAGCCAUGCCGCGUGUGUGAAGAAGGCCUUAUGGUUGUAAAGCACUUUAAGCGAGGAGGAGGCUACUGAGACUAAUACUCUUGGAUAGUGGACGUUACUCGCAGAAUAAGCACCGGCUAACUCUGUGCCAGCCGCCGCCGUAA
This 501-nucleotide ribosomal RNA is filed under the name uncultured bacterium. RNAcentral's name for it is "partial 16S ribosomal RNA". It matches the Rfam family "Bacterial small subunit ribosomal RNA", at positions 30 to 523 of the family's 1533-position model. The record is from RNAcentral.